Molecule: long non-coding RNA, 920 nt
Organism: Malus domestica (apple)
Lineage: Eukaryota; Viridiplantae; Streptophyta; Magnoliopsida; Rosales; Rosaceae
Source: RefSeq, a predicted model, not a curated record
CUAGCAAUAACAGCCACACCUUUUAUUCAUUCCCCUCUUCCCUCUCUCGUUCCCUUCCCUGCCUCCAGUGUAACCCUAACCCAGUAACCUUCUCGCGCAGCCGAGCCUCCUCUCUGUCUUUCUCAAACUCUCUGUCUCUCUUGGUCUUGAAUCCCAGGCGACCCGCGACGACGCGACCCUUCUCACUCUCAAUCUCUCACACCUCGCCCUCGCCGUGAGCUUCUUCUUGCCGUUUCGAGCCCCAAAAAUCAAACGCCGCGGCAAACAGGCGCUGAAAAAUGGAUGGGGGGAGUUCCGAUGGUGCUUCGGCGACCUCGAACAAGUGAAGGCGAUGAUCUUGAUCCACUCCGCCUUGUCCGAUGACACGCGUACUGUGGUGGAUUCGGUGGAGUUGGAGCUCACCAACAUGGACCUCAAAUCCAUCUCUUCCAGGUCCUUGCCCGACCCGCAUACCCUCCAAAAGUUCUCUCACCUCCUCGGCCCCAAAGUCCUCCAGUGUGAUUGUUUUUGGGAUUCCGAUUCCGCCCCACAGAAGAAGAGUUGGUCCACUAUUACUUGCAGAUGAAGCUCGAGGGAUACUCCAAGCAUAUAUAUGUCGAGCUGCGAAUAGAAGUCAAGAGCUGCGAAUUGAAAUUAACUGCAUGCAUAUAUAUUAUUAUCUGCUCGCACAAAAAAUUAUUUCUAAUUAUCAUGCUAUGUCUUUGAUUCUGGCAGUUAUGGAUACUCCAAGGAAAGAUUUGUCUGGUCUUUGAUAUCUGCUGUUGGUAUCUUUUGGCAGUUAUUAUUUUUUUCUUUCUAAUAUCUUACCUUUAAUUUCUUAGAUUAUCUAUUGUGUUUGUAAAUUCUAUUGCGGUUUUAUAGAAUUUGUCUGCCUCUUCCUCAGCCCCCUCCAAAUAUUCAGUAUGCAGCUCUUGUGAUUA